This 491-nucleotide long non-coding RNA is filed under the name Homo sapiens (human). Its description in RNAcentral is "HSALNT0107020". The record is from RNAcentral. Lineage: Eukaryota; Metazoa; Chordata; Mammalia; Primates; Hominidae.
UGUCACUCCAAUUCCCAUGAUGCCUUGCUGCUUAGCAUAACUCUACAGUGCGGCCCUGGGUCCACUGGUCCAUAUUCUGACAGAUAAUUAAGAAAGCAGCAGCUUUUUCUAGACGGCUCUUCCUCAUGAUUUGCAUUUUAGCCAGAGGCGACCAGUUAUAAAAAAAACAUGAUGGAAAGAUGGUAAGAAGCCAAUUAGAUGGAUGGAUGGCUGACUGACAGCUCUCUGGUAUUACGACUCCAGAUUUCAGACUACAUAGCCUGGCAGUUUUCUACAAGAACCAACUUUUUUGCAGAAGGUCAUACAUAUGCUAUUGGAGAGUUCACAGCUAGCCCCUCACUACUCAAAUUGUGGGUGUUAUUGCCAGACUGCGGAGAUGCACAAGAAUUGACUUGAGAAGCAAGGAGAUUAUUCAUGCUCCUGCACACUCUGUUAUCUCUGGGAGCUCUUAAUCAAUGCAGGCUCAAACCCUGGAGGGGUCAGAGGACUAA